CUCUUCUCAUGUGUCUUAGAAGCCAUGCACACACUUUAAGCCCUGCAGCCUGGCAGCUCACUGGCCAGCUUCCUUGCUAGACCUUUGCCUGGCUGUUAACUUCUUUCAAGAGCUAUGAAAGCAGCCUCCCUCUACAGCUCCACUUACAGUAGUGGAAGGAGGUGAAGAGAAAAGCCUCUGGCUAUGUUUCCAAUCUGGACAAUACUUGUUUAGUAGUUAAAGUUUUUUGGUUUUAUUGUUGUUCUUUAAUCCAUCUGCGUUUGAUCCUAAAGAAGGGUUCUCCACUAGCCAAGUACAUCUUCUAUAUUAAGAAGUUAAAACUAUGGACAAUUGUGGCUGAUCUGAGAAUACUGCUUCCCCUUCCGUAUUUUUGAGACAGGGUCUCUCUAAAUAUAACCCUGGCUGUUUUGGAACUCACUGUAUAGAGCAGGCUGGCCUGGAACUCACAAAGAUCCACCUGUAUCUGGCUCCUGAGUGCUGGGAUUGGAGGUUAAAGGCAUGCACUGCCAUGCCUGGCCUCUGCCUUCCUUUAACAUGGAUGGAUUUGGGCGUACUAAUCUGUUAUGUGAAGGUAGAUGCUGAGUGUAAAUUGUCUGCUAUUCUUAGCUAAUAUAUAAAGUAAUUUUAGCCUAAUUAUUAAAAAUGUCAAGAAUUUUGGUUUGGUAUUGUCUAGAAAUGCAGCAUUCCAUACCAUAGCAUACAGUCUAUAGAUUCAUCCUAGCUAAUCUUAAUAUUCCUGACAGCAGACACCUGGAGAGUCAUGGGUAAAAUAGUACAUGUGACCAUGAGAUUAAUUUUUGUUCAAUGGAAAUAUUCUGGAAUUAACGGUGAUGAUUACACCUUUUUUCUUUUUUGUUUUUCUGUGAAAAGACAGGGUCUCUACAUAGCUCUGCAUGCCCCCACCCCCUGCCUCAUGGGGUUACAUGCCCUGUAACACUGGUUUACUGUUUUUAAAAAACAAUUAUUUUUGGGCUGGAGAGAUGGUUCAGCAGUUAAAAAGAAUUGGCUGUUCUUCCAGAGGAUUCAGGUUCAACUCCCAGAACCCACAUGGCAGCUCACAGCUGUCUGUAACUCCAGUUCCAGGGGAUCCAACACCUUCAUAUAGACAUACAACGCAGUCAGAACACCAAUGUACAUAAAAUAAAUUUUUAAAAAGUAUUUUUAUUUUUUAAAAUCAGCACAUAAUGUGUAAUGUAUAACAUUUUCAAACAAAGUGUGUAUUUGUGGUUCUUUCUUCCCAUCGCCCCCAGUGCCCUGCUAUCCCUGUUACAUCCAGCCCCCCUUUUAAAGGCAUUGUCUCAGCUAGCUUAGGCUGGCCUCAAAGUUACUAUUUCCCCAAGUAUGGCCUUGAACUUCUGGUCUUCCUGCCUCCAUCUCCUGAGUGUUGAGGUUCCAGGUUUAUGGGAUUGGGAUGCCUAGAGAAGGACUUCAUGCAUGUUAGACAAGCCCCUGAGGACCAACAGAGGCACAUCUGCAGCCUAGUGACUGCACAUGAACAAAUACAAUGACAACUACCAAACACUCACUUCAGUGAGUUUAAACUAUAUUAGUUUCAAAAUUUAAAGGGUUUUAAUAAAUACUGCUACCAUGGAGAGGCUUUUGAACAUGUGGCCUGCUGAUGAUGCUCAGCAGCCUUCUCUUUAACAUGAGAAAUCUCUUUAUGAUUUGCAAAAAGCUCCAAGGUGCCCUCCUCCCAGCUUUCCAGUGUUUUUUUUUUUUCUUGUGUGUGUGCUUCAGGUGAAUGCUCCCAUGUGGGAAGGCAGGAGAGCUUUUGAGCUAAGUAGACACUCACAGCAAGGAUGAGAAGCCUAAUGGUUGCUUAUGUUGGCUGUAGAGUGACAUACCUAAAAGGAGGAAGCAUAUUUCCCCAGUGACUUCAUGCAGUGAACUGGGUUUGCUUCUGAGAGUGGGAAGGAGGUGGGAGUGAGUGUCUGCUGAGGUGUCAGAGCCCCUUCUUAGUUUUGAGAUGGCUGGUGAGGUGCGCAUGGGCAUUUAGGUUGGUGCUAAUGACUAUUUCUACCUUCGUUGUAGUAACCACAGCAGACAUUUUAUCAUUUCUCUGUAAGACCCCUCCAAUUUUACCCCUUUUUUCUUUGCCAUUGUGUAGAAUUUGACAGCAGUAUCAAGAGCUGAGGAGAAAGAGAAGAUGGAAAGGAGUCUAGCAACUAAAAACUGUCAUAGCGUUCUCUGUGAAGUGACCUUUCCCUGUUGGUGGCUCAGUUUAUUUAGGAGAUGAAGAUAAUGAGGCCUAUGACAGUUUCAUCAUGUCAUGCUUGAGUGUAUCAGAAUGUUUUCUCCCUUUACUUUUUAUGUCACAGUCUGCGUCCCAUGUUCAGCAUUGACCCGCAUGGCCAUCAUCAGUCCUGAAAGGACCUCCUUGCGUAGUCUGGAACUUACUGUGGAGCGCAGGUCAGUCUCAGCCUCCUGGUGCUGGAUUACUGGAUGCACCACUGUGCUUGACUUCUUACCAAGUUUUGAGCUCAGCCCAAGUCACUCCUUUCAGUUGCCUUACUCUACCUCAUUUGGUAGCCUUCAUCACAUGUCUUCCUUGGCAACAUCUGCACCAAAAUAAAGUCUUGCGUCCAUGGUCA
Long non-coding RNA from Meriones unguiculatus (Mongolian gerbil), 2591 nucleotides. RefSeq lists it as uncharacterized. Lineage: Eukaryota; Metazoa; Chordata; Mammalia; Rodentia; Muridae. The record is from RefSeq and is a predicted model, not a curated record. The transcript is spliced from 2 exons.